This 253-nucleotide ribosomal RNA is filed under the name uncultured bacterium. RNAcentral's name for it is "partial 16S ribosomal RNA". It matches the Rfam family "Bacterial small subunit ribosomal RNA", at positions 524 to 776 of the family's 1533-position model. The record is from RNAcentral.
UACGUAGGUGGCAAGCGUUGUCCGGAUUUAUUGGGUUUAAAGGGCGCGUAGGCGGGUUCCCAAGUCGGUGGUGAAAUCUUUCGGCCCAACCGGAAAAGUGCCGCCGAUACUGGGAGUCUCGAGGGAGGUAGGGGUCGAUGGAACUUCCGGUGGAGCGGUGAAAUGCGUAGAUAUCGGAAGGAACGCCGGUGGCGAAAGCGAUCGACUGGACCUCUUCUGACGUUGAGGCGCGAAAGCCAGGGGAGCAAACGGG